Molecule: ribosomal RNA, 253 nt
Filed under: uncultured bacterium
Lineage: Bacteria
Description: partial 16S ribosomal RNA
Rfam family: Bacterial small subunit ribosomal RNA
Source: RNAcentral
UACGGAGGGUGCAAGCGUUAUCCGGAUUCACUGGGUUUAAAGGGUGCGUAGGCGGGCAGGUAAGUCAGUGGUGAAAUCUCCGGGCUUAACCCGGAAACUGCCAUUGAUACUAUCUGUCUUGAAUACCGUGGAGGUGAGCGGAAUAUGUCAUGUAGCGGUGAAAUGCUUAGAUAUGACAUAGAACACCAAUUGCGAAGGCAGCUCACUACACGAAUAUUGACGCUGAGGCACGAAAGCGUGGGGAGCAAACAGG